Gallus gallus (chicken) is the source of this 653-nucleotide long non-coding RNA. The record is from Ensembl. Lineage: Eukaryota; Metazoa; Chordata; Aves; Galliformes; Phasianidae.
CUCUGACUCAGCUUUUAUCAUGUGAAGCUCCUUGGAAAACAGAAGAUUUGAUAUGCUUUUAAUUUGUUUUGCAGACUUUGGUGGAGGAGGUUGUCUGAACACCAGUGAUCCCUUCCUUAUGACCUCUGGGAUGUGUGGGGCACAAGACAGGUGUCCUUUUCCAGGACAUGUGAUCCAUUGAAGAGCUCUCCUAGCCAUGCCUAGUGAGAUGGAAAGAGAGAGCAGCAUCAGUUUGGCUGAUUCUUUACCUGAAAGAGCCAUGGUUUCACCAAGGCUUGGUGAUUCACUGUUGAAGCAGAGAGCCCAGGAGAUCCCUGAAAAGCUGGACUGGGUGUCCCUCCUAGCAUGGAAAAUAAAUGAGGACAACAGCUGUCACUGGUAGAAGUCCCUUUUCUGCAGCAGUAUCUACCAUUUCACAUACAUGAGCAGCUCAACCCAAUGAGGGCCAACCCAGCUGUACAGACAACAGGCAAAGAGAUGGAGGGAAGAAAGAUUGGGUUAAAAACAGGAAAUGCGUGUCUGAGAACAGAUACCAGCCCACCAACCACUUCCUGGCCAAAUUUAACACAAACACGAGCCCAAAGCACAGUGAACAUCUCUUCUGUGGCCAAGAACCGGAUCCGCCUCCUCUCCACUUCUGAAACAAAAUAAAC